CCUACGGGGGGCUGCAGUGAGGAAUAUUGGUCAAUGGCCGGAAGGCUGAACCAGCCAUGCCGCGUGAAGGUCAGUGCCCUAUGGGCGUUAAACUUCUUUUGUGCGGGAGCAAUAAUGGUCACGUGUGGCCAGACGAGAGUACCGUACGAAUAAGCAUCGGCUAACUCCGUGCCAGCAGCCGCGGUAAUACGGGGGAUGCAAGCGUUAUCCGGAUUUAUUGGGUUUAAAGGGUGCGUAGGCUGUGAGGUAAGUCAGCGGUGAAAUGCCCCCGCUCAACGGGGUGAAGUGCCAUUGAUACUGCCUGGCUGGAAUGCGGAUGCCGUGGGAGGAAUGUGUGGUGUAGCGGUGAAAUGCAUAGAUAUCACACAGAACACCGAGUGCGAAGGCAUCUCACGAAUCCGCGAUUGACGCUGAUGCACGAAAGCGUGGGUAUCAAACAGGAUUAGAUACCCGAGUAGUC
This 460-nucleotide ribosomal RNA is filed under the name uncultured bacterium. RNAcentral describes it as "partial 16S ribosomal RNA". It matches the Rfam family "Bacterial small subunit ribosomal RNA", at positions 338 to 795 of the family's 1533-position model. The record is from RNAcentral.